AUUGAACGCUGGCGGCAUGCCUUACACAUGCAAGUCGAACGGCAGCACGGGUGCUUGCACCUGGUGGCGAGUGGCGAACGGGUGAGUAAUACAUCGGAACAUGUCCUGUAGUGGGGGAUAGCCCGGCGAAAGCCGGAUUAAUACCGCAUACGAUCUACGGAUGAAAGCGGGGGACCUUCGGGCCUCGCGCUAUAGGGUUGGCCGAUGGCUGAUUAGCUAGUUGGUGGGGUAAAGGCCUACCAAGGCGACGAUCAGUAGCUGAUCUGAGAGGACGACCAGCCACACUGGGACUGAGACACGGCCCAGACUCCUACGGGAGGCAGCAGUGGGGAAUUUUGGACAAAGGGCGAAAGCCUGAUCCAGCAAUGCCGCGUGUGUGAAGAAGGCCUUCGGGUUGUAAAGCACUUUUGUCCGGAAAGAAAUCCUUGGCCCUAAUACGGUCGGGGGAUGACGGUACCGGAAGAAUAAGCACCGGCUAACUACGUG
This 486-nucleotide ribosomal RNA is filed under the name uncultured bacterium. Its description in RNAcentral is "partial 16S ribosomal RNA". It matches the Rfam family "Bacterial small subunit ribosomal RNA", at positions 30 to 507 of the family's 1533-position model. The record is from RNAcentral.